GACGAACGCUGGCGGCGUGCUUAACACAUGCAAGUCGAACGGAAAGGCCCUGCUUUUGUGGCGUGCUCGAGUGGCGAACGGGUGAGUAACACGUGAGUAACCUGCCCUUGACUUUGGGAUAACUUCAGGAAACUGGGGCUAAUACCGGAUAGGAGCUCCUGCUGCUUGGUGGGGGUUGGAAAGUUUCGGCGGUUGUGGAUGGAGUCGCGGCUUAUCAGCUUGUUGGUGGGGUAGUGGCUUACCAAGGCUUUGACGGGUAGCCGGCCUGAGAGGGUGACCGGCCACAUUGGGACUGAGGUACGGCCCAGACGCCUACGGGAGGCAGAAGUGGGAAAUAUUGCACAAUGGGCGGAAGCCUGAUGCAGCGACGCCGCGUGCGGGAUGACGGCCUUUGGGUUGUAAACCGCUUUCGCCUGAGACGAAGCGUGAGUGACGGUAAUGGGUAAAGAAGCAACGGCUAACUACGUG
This 468-nucleotide ribosomal RNA is filed under the name uncultured bacterium. RNAcentral's name for it is "partial 16S ribosomal RNA". It matches the Rfam family "Bacterial small subunit ribosomal RNA", at positions 28 to 507 of the family's 1533-position model. The record is from RNAcentral.